UAGAUUUUGUUGAAAUGUCUUUUAUAUAUAGCGACAGUAGAUAUGACAAUUGUCAUCGGGCCAUAAUCAAUCAUAUAUAGGUAUUUCCAAAUUUGAAUGAUGUGGAUGUUAUGGGUCAUGUACAAACAAUGGCAGAAAAAUAUCUUUUCUACGUGGAAGAAAACGUCGCUCAUUCUAUGCUUAAAUGAUUGCCAGAAUUAUAAUGUUCUGUGCUUAAACUUGAAGUACAUAUUAUCGAUACUCACUAGAGCAUCGGAAAAUGUCUUCUGUGUUCGGGUUGGGAGAGAUAACAACGUCCGAUGAAUAUCUUCAUGAAAUCGCUGGUUUUAUAAGAGUACACAAAGAUGGCCGCUGUGAAAGAUUCCUGGGAAAUGAGAAGUUACCAGCCGGAAUCGAUUCGUCAACCGGAGUUCUAUCCAACGACGUCAUCAUCUCAUCCGAAACAAACCUGUCUGCAAGAAUUUACAUUCCCAAAACCGCCACCUCAGAUCGGAAACUUCCUGUUCUGAUCUACUUUCACGGCGGUGGUUUCGUAGUCGAGUCCCCCACGAGUCCUAACUACCACCCUACACUCAACCAUCUUACAGCGGAGUCAAACGUGAUCGCGGUUUCCGUUGACUACCGGCUGGCGCCAGAGUAUCCGCUUCCAGUCGGGUACAAUGACUGUUGGGAAGCGGCCCAGUGGGUUGCUUCCCAUGGGUCAGGACAUGGUCCUGACCCAUGGUUAAAUAAAUUUGCGGAUUUUAGUAAGGUGUUUUUCGCGGGGGAUAGCGCUGGGGCGAAUAUCGCCCACAACUUGGCAAUCCGGUUCGGGUCAGACCGGAUUGCUGGAAUAAACCUAGAGGGUAUUAUUCUUAUCCACCCGUAUUUCGGAGGAAGUGACCCGAUUGGAUCGGAACUUGGGAAAAAUAAGCAGUUGAAAGCGUUUACGGAUCAGUUCUGGAAAGUGGCGAAUCCGUCAGGGAGUGGGCUGGAUGACCCAAUGUUUAACCCGGAAAAGGACCCGAAUCUUUCGGGUUUGGGGUGCUCCAAGAUCCUUGUAGCUGUUGCGGAGAAAGAUUGUUUGAGAGACAGGGGUUUGCAUUACAUAGAAUUGAUGGAGAAAAGUGGAUGGGCUGGAAAAGUGGAGAUGUUGGAGUCGAAAGAUAAGGAUCAUGUCUUCUUUUGGUUCGAUCAUGUUUCCGAAAAUGCUUGUACCUUUUUCGAUACAAUCUCUACCUUUAUCAACCACAAUAGUUGAUUAUGGAUGACCAGCCUCAUGUUUGAUCCAAGUCUUUGUAUUCAACAUACAUGUGUGAAAUGGAUAAUGGGCCAGGGAAUAUUCGUAGAAGCUGCGGACCCCAACGUUACCACACCGUUUGAGAGACAAAAGAAUGCCAGGUCAGCAAGGGAAAUAACAAAGACCCCCCCCCCCCCCCUCACCCCC
Helianthus annuus (common sunflower) is the source of this 1426-nucleotide RNA transcript. It is a transcript of the gene named probable carboxylesterase 2, with no coding region annotated. The record is from RefSeq and is a predicted model, not a curated record. Lineage: Eukaryota; Viridiplantae; Streptophyta; Magnoliopsida; Asterales; Asteraceae. The transcript has 2 exons.